CAAGGAUUGCGUCUGGCAGUCUGACCCCGAAAGAGGUUUCGUUCUGCAGAGUCUUGAACAGUUUCCCUCGAAUCCACGGUACUCCUCUAUUCACCGCCCACUCAGGCUGCCGGUGGAUUAGUGACUGCUGCUUUCUUGCGUGAACUUGACAGAAAGAGAUAGAAGAAGCCAAGAGAGAAGAAGAUGGAUCUAAAGUAACCGAGGAGACAUGGUAGAGGGAAGCAAGAGGCUAGGUGUUUCAUUCAGUGUCGAACCAGGUUACUGUCUAAUCCACUCAGCACGGAGAUAACAUAGCAAACAAACACUUUCAAAUCAAGGGAGCAUAAGAUGAAAUGAAACGGCAUAUUCCCGCAAAUUGCUUUCUCAUUUGACCUCGAUGUUGGAUUAGACACAGACGUACGUGUAAUCAGAUUUUUUUUUCUUUUUUUAAUCUGAUCCACUGUGUGGCAGAAUAUCAGAUGCAUUUAGUCGCUGUCUCAUGAACUGCACUCUUGAGAGAAAUAAAUGUACAGAAAUCUGGUUUAAUUUCCCUGCUGCAGGUUUUAUAGGGUAUACAAUUCUAGAGAGUCCCUCAAGUCAGACCCAAAUGUAAACAAAAACAUAUACAUUCCUGUUUGUGUGGGGUUUUUUUAAUACCGGUGUAUUCUCUCUCUUUCUUUGUUUGAUGUAAUCCUGUGAUGAGUCAUGGAGUGUAGGUAAGCUGCAUUAGCAUUUCUCCUCUGAGGUCUCUGACCACAUUUCUAAAAACAAACAGUAAAAGGUUGCAAACGUCUUUAAGUGACUUAUUAGAUAACAAGCCAUUAGAGCUCUUUCCUCCGAGGAUCUUUUUUUUUCAUAAAUUGCCCCAAAACAAGCAGAAUUCAGUCAAACAAACUGAGCCAAAAACCAUUUUGGAAAUAAAACAAACUCUAAAAAGCUCUCAAAGGAAGGAAACAUGAAUACUGAUGCAGAAAAUUAGCAUUCAGAUUCAGUUUCUGCAGUACUGUAAAUGUAAUAUCGUGGAUUUUCGAUUAUUUUAAUGUCAAGCUCAAGCUGUCAACGAAUGAAAACUCUGAUAAAUGUCCUGGCUGUGCCCAGUUCUUGGAAGAGAUUUUUACUGUGGAUUCUGAGUCUGAUCUUAGUUGCCUUGCAAAG
Long non-coding RNA from Astatotilapia calliptera (eastern happy), 1134 nucleotides. NCBI's taxonomy places the organism in Eukaryota, Metazoa, Chordata, Actinopteri, Cichliformes, Cichlidae. The record is from Ensembl.